RNAcentral lists this transfer RNA (74 nucleotides) under Neopestalotiopsis cubana. RNAcentral describes it as "tRNA-Leu". The record is from RNAcentral. Lineage: Eukaryota; Fungi; Ascomycota; Sordariomycetes; Amphisphaeriales; Sporocadaceae.
AAAAGCUAAGUAUAUGAGGCAAUACUUAAAGAUCAAAAUUUGUUCUUUGAUAGAUUCGAUUUCUAUGGCUUUUA